GACGAACGCUGGCGGCGUGCUUAACACAUGCAAGUCGAACGGUGACGAGGAGCUUGCUCCUCUGAUCAGUGGCGAACGGGUGAGUAACACGUGAGCAACCUGCCCCAGACUCUGGGAUAACAGUUGGAAACAGCUGCUAAUACCGGAUACGAGACGGAGAGGCAUCUCUACCGUCUGGAAAGUUUUUCGGUCUGGGAUGGACUCGCGGCCUAUCAGCUAGUUGGUGAGGUAAUGGCUCACCAAGGCGACGACGGGUAGCCGGCCUGAGAGGGCGACCGGCCACGACUGGGACUGAGACACGGCCCAGACUCCUACGGGAGGCAGCAGUGGGGAAUAUUGCACAAUGGGCGAAAGCCUGAUGCAGCGACGCCGCGUGAGGGAUGACGGCCUCGGUUGUAACGUCUUCUAGCAGGAGAAGACGAAGUAGACGGUACCUGCAGAAGAAGACACCGGCUAACUACGUGCCAGCAGCCGCGGUAAUAGUA
This 485-nucleotide ribosomal RNA is filed under the name uncultured bacterium. RNAcentral's name for it is "bacterial SSU rRNA". It matches the Rfam family "Bacterial small subunit ribosomal RNA", at positions 28 to 529 of the family's 1533-position model. The record is from RNAcentral.